This 1199-nucleotide long non-coding RNA is filed under the name Homo sapiens (human). RNAcentral describes it as "long intergenic non-protein coding RNA 2236". Lineage: Eukaryota; Metazoa; Chordata; Mammalia; Primates; Hominidae. The record is from RNAcentral.
GAGUUUCUCUGUGGUCAAACCACCCUGCCAGCCUCCCUGCUGCAGCCGGCAGCACGUCACUCCAUGCGGGAGGGGAGCCCCACCUAAGGUUCUUGGCCAUAAAAUAUGGCUUUUGGAAAAAUAAAGCUGAGACUUGGAGUUCACGGUGGGGGCUCCCCCAUCUGUGAACAGAAGCAGAAGUUUGGAACUGCCUUCUUUACUGCUCGAGAGGGAAAACUUGAGUGAAAACCAGGAUGCUGGCGAAUGUUGAGUAGCUAAGCUGCACAGGAAAUACCACUUGAUGACCUGCGAUCUGGGGAAGCCGCGCCAGGGCUCUGCGAAGCUGCGGACGAGGGAGGCGUCAGUGUGGGGGCUGCAGCUCAGCUCCGGGGGGGACGCGCCUUUCUCCACGGGACCUGGGGCUCAGGUGCUCACGAGGCUGGGGCGCUGCAGGCCACCCGCAGGGGAAACUGAGGCCCUCCAUUUUGUGGGGCUGGAAGACCUUUCCUUCCAAAAGCAGGUGUAGGCGGGAGCACCUGUGCAGUCCCUCUGUUCAGAUCCUCACCCACUUUUAAAUCAGGUAAUUGCUUUUCUUGUUAUUGCAUUGAGUUCCUUAUGUAUUUUAGAUAUUACCCCCAAGAACAUUUAUUUUAAACACUAGCUAAAGCUCUCGUAAGAACUGAUGUCUUAUAAGGUAAAAUACUGGUUUAAGAAAGAAGUUGAUAAAGGGACAGCACCAGACAAAGAGUGGCAGCACCAACAACCAGUGCGAGGGCUCCGUUCAGAAGGAUCUGGAUGGUCGCCUGGACGUGCUGCCGUGUCAUGUCUUAGGUGGUUAGUCAAUCCACAUGAUGGUUUUAAGUCAAAUUCCCAGCUUUGGGACCAACCCUAUCCCCCACGGCAAUCCAAGAAACCCGAUCCAGGACUCUUUCCACUGGGAGUUGUCAGAACUGUGUCUUCAUCCAAGACAAUUGGUUUCCCAUACUCAUACUUAGAGGGAACCCUGGCCCCUUUAAGGUGGGGCUCCCUCAACUUGGGACUCGUUACUCCUCAGUUCAGCUCCCCUGCCAUUGCUGGCCUCCUUGACAGAGUUCAGAGGAUGCGGCUCCAUCCUUCUCCCUCUGUCCCAGCUUCUUGUAUGUGAAAACAAACCAGGGAGGCUGGAGGCCCUGAGUACAUUUUUUUGAAUUCUGGGCAGCAGCGUCGGUGGCCUCGGUGGU